UAAAUGCCUUUUUUCAAAUGU
This is a non-coding RNA of Caenorhabditis elegans, 21 nucleotides long. The record is from Ensembl. NCBI's taxonomy places the organism in Eukaryota, Metazoa, Nematoda, Chromadorea, Rhabditida, Rhabditidae.